Long non-coding RNA from Oncorhynchus keta (chum salmon), 480 nucleotides. RefSeq lists it as uncharacterized. The transcript is spliced from 2 exons. Lineage: Eukaryota; Metazoa; Chordata; Actinopteri; Salmoniformes; Salmonidae. The record is from RefSeq and is a predicted model, not a curated record.
AGAGGGGAGGAGGGAGGUGGAGAUGUUGGCGUCUUCCCGUUAGGACACUCAAGACGAAGGUAGAGGAGGGGUUAAGUGAGGAGGGGCACGCCGUGGGUGAGUAGAGCGCGCUGGGUGGUGGAUUAGUGCUUUUGGGAGGGGCCGAAAGGUCGAAGUUCAAGCACAAUCAAUAGGAGGUAGAGAGGGCAGAGCUAGCUUCCCACGACCGAAAAGAGUUGGUGUCGAGAGGAGAAAGCUAGUCAGGCCAAAGCUGGGUUAUGAAGAUGAAGAGGGAGAAAGGGAGGGAUAGAGGGAGAAGGGAAAGGAGAGGGAGAGUCAAUGAUCCAGAACCCUCAGAGUCAGACGUGAAGGGUUGGGAACAUCACCGGAAAAAAAUGACAUUCCCAAAGAACAGUCCUAGGCAAGGUCAUCCCAAAUACACCAGAAAAAAAUGACAUUCCCAAAGAACAGUCCUAGGCAAGGUCAUCCCAAAUACACCAG